Molecule: transfer RNA, 87 nt
Filed under: Cafeteria roenbergensis
Lineage: Eukaryota; Bigyra; Bicosoecida; Cafeteriaceae
Description: tRNA-Sec
Rfam family: Selenocysteine transfer RNA
Source: RNAcentral
GCAGGGGUGAUCCUAGAUGGUUCUGGGGGCGGGCUUCAAACCCGUGGGUGCAGCAAUGCACAGGAGUUCAAUUCUCCCUCACCUGCG